RNAcentral lists this non-coding RNA (21 nucleotides) under Caenorhabditis elegans. The record is from RNAcentral. Lineage: Eukaryota; Metazoa; Nematoda; Chromadorea; Rhabditida; Rhabditidae.
UCUAGUGUUCCUAUAGCGUAA